This 449-nucleotide ribosomal RNA is filed under the name uncultured bacterium. RNAcentral's name for it is "bacterial SSU rRNA". It matches the Rfam family "Bacterial small subunit ribosomal RNA", at positions 917 to 1382 of the family's 1533-position model. The record is from RNAcentral.
GGACCCGCACAAGCGGUGGAGCAUGUGGUUUAAUUCGAUGAUAAGCGAAGAACCUCACCAAGGUUUGACAUGUAGCUGCAAGGUCUGGAAACAGAUCCGCCUUCGAGGGUGCUACACAGAUGCUGCAUGGUUGUCGUCAGCUCGUGUCGUGAGAUGUACCGUUAAGUCGGGAAACGAGCGCAACCCUUUUCUUAUGUUUUAUAUGUCAUAAGAUACUGCCCGUUUUAAAUGGGAGGAAGGUGGGAUGACGUCAAAUCAGCAUGGUUCUUACACCUUGGGCAACACACGUGCUACAAUGGAAAGUACAAAGGGACGCCAAAGCGCGAGCUGGAGCAAACCCCUUAAAACUUUUCUCAGUUCGGAUUGGAGUCUGCAACUCGACUCCAUGAAGCUGGAAUCGCUAGUAAUCGUGAAUCAGCUAUGUCACGGUGAAUACGUUCUCGGGUCUU